Molecule: ribosomal RNA, 457 nt
Filed under: uncultured Thiobacillus sp.
Lineage: Bacteria; Pseudomonadati; Pseudomonadota; Betaproteobacteria; Nitrosomonadales; Thiobacillaceae
Description: bacterial SSU rRNA
Rfam family: Bacterial small subunit ribosomal RNA
Source: RNAcentral
UGGCAGCAGUGGGGAAUUUUGGACAAUGGGGGCAACCCUGAUCCAGCCAUUCCGCGUGAGUGAAGAAGGCCUUCGGGUUGUAAAGCUCUUUCAGCCGGAAAGAAACGGUGCGCUCUAACAUAGCGUGCUAAUGACGGUACCGGCAGAAGAAGCACCGGCUAACUACGUGCCAGCAGCCGCGGUAAUACGUAGGGUGCGAGCGUUAAUCGGAAUUACUGGGCGUAAAGCGUGCGCAGGCGGAUUGUUAAGCAAGAUGUGAAAUCCCCGGGCUUAACCUGGGAAUGGCAUUUUGAACUGGCAGUCUAGAGUGUGGCAGAGGGGGGUGGAAUUCCACGUGUAGCAGUGAAAUGCGUAGAGAUGUGGAGGAACACCGAUGGCGAAGGCAGCCCCCUGGGAUAACACUGACGCUCAUGUACGAAAGCGUGGGUAGCAAACAGGAUUAGAUACCCUUGUAGUC